UUACCAACUUAAGCUCUUUGGGAGAAUAAAGACCACACUCCACAGUGGGUUAUAUCACUAAACAUAUAGCCCAUUUCUAUUCUGUGGCCUACAUU
Pipistrellus kuhlii (Kuhl's pipistrelle) is the source of this 95-nucleotide small nucleolar RNA. RefSeq annotates it as small nucleolar RNA SNORA4. The record is from RefSeq and is a predicted model, not a curated record. The transcript has a single exon. NCBI's taxonomy places the organism in Eukaryota, Metazoa, Chordata, Mammalia, Chiroptera, Vespertilionidae.